GCCUCUAUGGCGUAGUGGUAGCGCGUGUCACUUGUAUCCCUAGUCCAAGGUUAGCAAGAUUCAUGACAAGGUCUCUCGUUCGAUCCGGGAUGGAGGCA
Non-coding RNA from Xylariaceae sp. FL0594, 98 nucleotides. The record is from the annotation of a GenBank genome assembly. Lineage: Eukaryota; Fungi; Ascomycota; Sordariomycetes; Xylariales; Xylariaceae.